UCCGAGUUGUCCCCGGCAGUCUUCUAUGAGUCCCCGACUUAACUCGCUGGUAACAUAGAACAAGGGUUGCGCUCGUUGCGGGACUUAACCCAACAUCUCACGACACGAGCUGACGACAGCCAUGCAGCACCUGUGUUCCGAUUCUCUUUCGAGCACACCCACAUCUCUGCGGGCUCUCGGACAUGUCAAGGGUAGGUAAGGUUUUUCGCGUUGCAUCGAAUUAAUCCACAUAAUCCACCGCUUGUGCGGGUCCCCGUCAAUUCCUUUGAGUUUUAGCCUUGCGGCCGUACUCCCCAGGCGGGGCGCUUAAUGCGUUAGCUUCGUUACCAAGGAAUUGCUUCCCCGACAACCAGUUGACAUAGUUUAGGGCGUGGACUAC
RNAcentral lists this unclassified non-coding RNA (379 nucleotides) under uncultured Gammaproteobacteria bacterium. RNAcentral's name for it is "contains 16S-23S intergenic spacer region". Lineage: Bacteria; Pseudomonadati; Pseudomonadota; Gammaproteobacteria. The record is from RNAcentral.